Molecule: ribosomal RNA, 432 nt
Filed under: Leptodactylus sp. Guiana ABGD cluster 126
Lineage: Eukaryota; Metazoa; Chordata; Amphibia; Anura; Leptodactylidae
Description: partial large subunit ribosomal RNA
Rfam family: Bacterial large subunit ribosomal RNA
Source: RNAcentral
UCGCCUCUUGACAACUAAUAAGAGGUCCAGCCUGCCCAGUGACUCUGUUCAACGGCCGCGGUAUCCUAACCGUGCGAAGGUAGCGUAAUCACUUGUUCUUUAAAUGAGGACUAGUAUGAACGGCACCACGAGGGUUAAGCUGUCUCCCUUUUCUAAUCAGUGAAACUAAUCCCCCCGUGAAGAAGCGGGGAUGAAUCUAUAAGACGAGAAGACCCUAUGGAGCUUCAAACACACAACAAAUGCCCCGCCUCUUGUUAAUCUCCGGAAAACCACCCACCCGGGCACUUUGAUUUCAAGUUUUAGGUUGGGGUGACCGCGGAGUAAAAAAAAUCCUCCACAGCGAACGGGACCUAACCCCUAAGCUCAGGGCCACAACCCCAGGAAUCAAUAAAUUGACACCCAUUGACCCAAUAUUUUUGACCAACGAACCAA